GACGAACGCUGGCGGCGUGCUUAACACAUGCAAGUCGAACGGAGCACCCUUGAUUGAGGUUUCGGCCAAAUGAUAGGAAUGCUUAGUGGCGGACUGGUGAGUAACGCGUGAGGAACCUGCCUUUCAGAGGGGGACAACAGUUGGAAACGACUGCUAAUACCGCAUGACGCAUUUUGAUCGCAUGGUCGAAAUGCCAAAGAUUUAUCGCUGAAAGAUGGCCUCGCGUCUGAUUAGCUGGUUGGUGAGGUAACGGCCCACCAAGGCGACGAUCAGUAGCCGGACUGAGAGGUUGACCGGCCACAUUGGGUCUGAGAUACGGCCCAGACCCCUACGGGAGGCAGCAGUGGGGAAUAUUGGGCAAUGGGCGCAAGCCUGACCCAGCAACGCCGCGUGAAGGAAGAAGGCUUUCGGGUUGUAAACUUCUUUUAAGUGGGAAGAGUAGAAGACGGUACCACUUGAAUAAGCCACGGCUAACUACGUGCCAGCCGCCGCGGUAA
RNAcentral lists this ribosomal RNA (497 nucleotides) under uncultured bacterium. Its description in RNAcentral is "partial 16S ribosomal RNA". It matches the Rfam family "Bacterial small subunit ribosomal RNA", at positions 28 to 523 of the family's 1533-position model. The record is from RNAcentral.